CGCCGAAGGUGGGGUAGAUGAUUGGGGUGAAGUCGUAACAAGGUAGCCGUAUCGGAAGGUGCGGCUGGAUCACCUCCUUU
Molecule: ribosomal RNA, 80 nt
Filed under: Paenibacillus elgii
Lineage: Bacteria; Bacillati; Bacillota; Bacilli; Caryophanales; Paenibacillaceae
Also listed under: 5 other names
Description: partial 16S ribosomal RNA
Rfam family: Bacterial small subunit ribosomal RNA
Source: RNAcentral